RNAcentral lists this ribosomal RNA (380 nucleotides) under uncultured bacterium. RNAcentral's name for it is "bacterial SSU rRNA". It matches the Rfam family "Bacterial small subunit ribosomal RNA", at positions 28 to 408 of the family's 1533-position model. The record is from RNAcentral.
GACGAACGCUGGCGGCGUGCUUAACACAUGCAAGUCGAGCGGUAAGGCCCUUUCGGGGGUACGACGAGCGGCGAACGGGUGAGUAACACGUGGGUGACCUGCCCUCAGCCCUGGGAUAAGCCUGGGAAACCGGGUCUAAUACUGGAUAUGACUCCAUGACGCAUGUUGUGGGGUGGAAAGCCUUGUGCGGCUGAGGAUGGGCCCGCGGCCUAUCAGCUUGUUGGUGGGGUGANGGCCUACCAAGGCGACGACGGGUAGCCGGCCUGAGAGGGCGACCGGCCACACUGGGACUGAGACACGGCCCAGACUCCUACGGGAGGCAGCAGUGGGGAAUCUUGCGCAAUGGGCGAAAGCCUGACGCAGCGACGCCGCGUGAGGGA